Molecule: ribosomal RNA, 468 nt
Filed under: uncultured bacterium
Lineage: Bacteria
Description: partial 16S ribosomal RNA
Rfam family: Bacterial small subunit ribosomal RNA
Source: RNAcentral
GACGAACGCUGGCGGCGUGCUUAACACAUGCAGGUCGAACGGAAAGGCCCUGCUUUUGUGGGGUGCUCGAGUGGCGAACGGGUGAGUAACACGUGAGUAACCUGCCCUUGACUUUGGGAUAACUUCAGGAAACUGGGGCUAAUACCGGAUAGGAGCUCCUGCUGCAUGGUGGGGGUUGGAAAGUUUCGGCGGUUGGGGAUGGACUCGCGGCUUAUCAGCUUGUUGGUGGGGUAGUGGCUUACCAAGGCUUUGACGGGUAGCCGGCCUGAGAGGGUGACCGGCCACAUUGGGACUGAGAUACGGCCCAAACUCCUACGGGAGGCAGCAGUGGGGAAUAUUGCACAAUGGGCGGAAGCCUGAUGCAGCAACGCCGCGUGCGGGAUGACGGCCUUCGGGUUGUAAACCGCUUUCGCCUGUGACGAAGCGUGAGUGACGGUAAUGGGUAAAGAAGCACCGGCUAACUACGUG